GACGAACGCUGGCGUCGUGCUUAACACAUGCAAGUCGAACGGAAAGGCCCCUUUGGGGGUACUCGAGUGGCGAACGGGUGAGUAACACGUGAGUAACCUGCCCUUGACUUCGGGAUAACUUCAGGAAACUGGGGCUAAUACCGGAUAGGAAUCCUUGCUGCAUGGUGGGGGUUGGAAAGCUUCGGCGGUUUUGGAUGGACUCGCGGCUUAUCAGCUUGUUGGUGGGGUAGUGGCUUACCAAGGCUUUGACGGGUAGCCGGCCUGAGAGGGCGACCGGCCACAUUGGGACUGAGAUACGGCCCAGACUCCUACGGGAGGCAGCAGUGGGGAAUAUUGCACAAUGGGCGGAAGCCUGAUGCAGCAACGCCGCGUGCGGGAUGACGGCCUUCGGGUUGUAAACCGCUUUCAGCAGGGGCGAAGCUUGUGGUGACGGUACCUGCAGAAGAAGCACCGGCUAACUACGUG
RNAcentral lists this ribosomal RNA (465 nucleotides) under uncultured bacterium. RNAcentral's name for it is "partial 16S ribosomal RNA". It matches the Rfam family "Bacterial small subunit ribosomal RNA", at positions 28 to 507 of the family's 1533-position model. The record is from RNAcentral.